ACUACGGGCGGCAGCAGUGGGGGAUAUUGGACAAUGGGGGGAACCCUGAUCCAGCGACGCCGCGUGAGUGAAGAAGUAUUUCGGUAUGUAAAGCUCUGUCAGCAGGGAAGAAAGAAAUGACGGUACCUGACCAAGAAGCCCCGGCUAACUACGUGCCAGCAGCCGCGGUAAUACGUAGGGGGGAAGCGUUAUCCGGAAUUACUGGGUGGAAAGGGAGCGUAGACGGUUAAGUAAGUCUGGAGUGAAAGGCCGGGGCCCAACCCCGGGACUGCUCUGGAAACUAUUGAACUUGAGUGCAGGAGAGGUAAGCGGAAUUCCUAGUGUAGCGGUGAAAUGCGUAGAUAUUAGGAGGAACACCAGUGGCGAAGGCGGCUUACUGGACUGUAACUGACGUUGAGGCUCGAAAGCGUGGGGAGCAAACAGGAUUAGAUACCCGUGUAGUC
Molecule: ribosomal RNA, 443 nt
Filed under: uncultured bacterium
Lineage: Bacteria
Description: partial 16S ribosomal RNA
Rfam family: Bacterial small subunit ribosomal RNA
Source: RNAcentral